This 492-nucleotide ribosomal RNA is filed under the name uncultured bacterium. RNAcentral's name for it is "partial 16S ribosomal RNA". It matches the Rfam family "Bacterial small subunit ribosomal RNA", at positions 29 to 507 of the family's 1533-position model. The record is from RNAcentral.
AGUGAACGCUGGCGGUAGGCCUAACACAUGCAAGUCGAACGGCAGCACAGUAAGAGCUUGCUCUUACGGGUGGCGAGUGGCGGACGGGUGGGGAAUACAUCGGAAUCUACUUUUUCGGGGGGGAUAACGUAGGGAAACUUACGCUAAUACCGCAUACGACCUACGGGUGAAAGCAGGGGAUCUUCGGACCUUGCGCGAUUGAAUGAGCCGAUGUCGGAUUAGCUAGUUGGCGGGGUAAAGGCCCACCAAGUCGACGAUCCGUAGCUGGUCUGAGAGGAUGAUCAGCCACACUGGAACUGAGACACGGUCCAGACUCCUACGGGAGGCAGCAGUGGGGAAUAUUGGACAAUGGGCGCAAGCCUGAUCCAGCCAUACCGCGUGGGUGAAGAAGGCCUUCGGGUUGUAAAGCCCUUUUGUUGGGAAAGAAAAGCAGCAGGUUAAUACCACGCUGUUCUGACGGUACCCAAAGAAUAAGCACCGGCUAACUUCGUG